GGACUACUGGGGUUUCUAAUCCUGUUCGCUCCCCACGCUUUCGUGCCUUAGCGUCAAGGACGGCCCAGCAAGCUGCCUUCGCCAUUGGUGUUCCUACGGAUAUCUACGCAUUUCACUGCUACACCCGUAAUUCCACUUGCCUCUGCCGUCUUCUAAGAAAUCCCGUAUGAGAUACAGUCCAGAUGGUUGAGCCACCGGAUUUCGCAUCUCACGCAAAUUUCCGCCUACGCACGCUUUACGCCCAGUAAUUCCGGAUAACGCUUGGACCCUACGUAUUACCGCGGCUGCUGGCAC
Molecule: ribosomal RNA, 294 nt
Filed under: uncultured bacterium
Lineage: Bacteria
Description: partial 16S ribosomal RNA
Source: RNAcentral